CCUACGGGAGGCAGCAGUGAGGAAUAUUGGGCAAUGGCCGGAAGGCUGAACCAGCCAUGCCGCGUGAAGGUCAGUGCUCUAUGGGCGGUAAACUUCUUUUGUGCGGGAGCAAUAAUGGUUACGUGUGGCCAGACGAAAGUACCGUACGAAUAAGAAUCGGCUAACUCCGUGCCAGCAGCCGCGGUAAUACGGAGGAUGCAAGCGUUAUCCGGAUUUAGUGGGUGUAAAGGGUGCGUAGGCUGUGAGGUAAGUCAGCGGUGAAAUGCCCGCGCUCAACGGGGUGAAGUGCCAUUGAUACUGCCUUGCUGGAAUGCGGAUGCCGUAGGAGGAAUGUAGGGUGUAGCGGUGAAAUGCA
This 355-nucleotide ribosomal RNA is filed under the name uncultured bacterium. RNAcentral describes it as "partial 16S ribosomal RNA". It matches the Rfam family "Bacterial small subunit ribosomal RNA", at positions 338 to 690 of the family's 1533-position model. The record is from RNAcentral.